UAUCGACACAUGAGCGUUAGUUACAUUUUAAAGUGCCCAUUCAGACAGGGAUAACUGUUAAUUUUGAAUUUUUUCUCAUCA
Molecule: small nuclear RNA, 81 nt
Organism: Eremothecium sinecaudum
Lineage: Eukaryota; Fungi; Ascomycota; Saccharomycetes; Saccharomycetales; Saccharomycetaceae
Source: RefSeq, a predicted model, not a curated record